CAUAUGUAAGUAUGACAACCAAUUAAAUUUAUGAAGGUACAGCACGGAAAUUCCGAACAAGUAUUAUUAUUUUUUUCAAACAAUGUUUUUGUUUAGAAAAAUUUAAAGAAAUAUGCGUUUAGGUUGCGGGGAUCUAGUAAAUCUUACCAAUGGAAUUGAAACUCGGAAGUACAUAAAUUGAUGUUGGAUAUUCAGACUGCUCAUGAUAAGUUGGGUAGUCAAGACGAAAACAGUCGAACUAGUUUGAUUAGAAAAAUUAAAAAGUAAAUUGGGCAGUCGCUACUUUUUAAUGAACGUUGUAACAACGCAGCAGCUCUUUAGAUUGUGGCACUAAAAAUUUAACGGGUCUAAAGAGUAACGUAAAAAGAAGUUUUAAUACUUCUCGCCGAAUACGAAAGGGUUAUAAGUAAGGUUUAAACUAACUUAUGUUAAAUGCGGGUCUCUAAGGUACAGAACCAAUGUUCUGGCUGAUGAGGUAGUGAUUGUUAUGUCUUAAUGGAAGAUUGGACCUAGAAAAAGAAUCACUUCUGAAGAAUUAUUAAUAUAGUUUUGAUAUAAUUAUUAAUAAUUAUAUUAGACUAUAUUUAAAAAGGUCACAUUUUUAAAUAAAUGGACUGUAAACAUUUUAAAUUUAAGUUAUAAUGUUAAUUGUUAUAUUUAGGUGAUAAGAUAACAAUUAAGCUUAAGUAAAAAGAACUACCGUACCCUAAACCGACACAGGUUCGUAGGUAGAGAAUACUAAGGCGUAGAGCUAAAAGUUGUAAAGGAACUCGGCAAGUUGUCCUGCAUUGUGUUCUGGGAAACGAUGUCGAUUCAUCCUAUCCUCCGGGGGAAGAAGCUUGGAAGGGUUGGGCUGUUCGCCCAUUAAAAGGGUACGUGAAUUGGGUUUAUUUAA
Molecule: ribosomal RNA, 895 nt
Filed under: Sanghuangporus vaninii
Lineage: Eukaryota; Fungi; Basidiomycota; Agaricomycetes; Hymenochaetales; Hymenochaetaceae
Description: large subunit ribosomal RNA
Rfam family: Bacterial large subunit ribosomal RNA
Source: RNAcentral